GGUCCUAGAGAUUUGCAAACUCUGCAAGGGGAAGGAGGAGCCAACAAAAGACUAGGUCAGCUCUCCAGCCUCCUUCCUCACUCUGCUCAGGGCUAUGUCCUAGGGCUGGAGCCCCUCUCCAGACCCUGAGACACAGCUGCACAGACCAAGUUCUGCUGUGCAGAAAACUCAUCCUCCUUCCAGGACAAGGACCUCUGUGGGAAUCAAACCGUGGAUCCAUUGCAUACGGGUGAAACUGGCUUCUGACCCAGCAACAAAUUCAUAGCCCUCAGAAGUUACAGAAAAGACAACAACAAAGCCAGCUGAAGCCAGUACUCCUUGCUGCAAGUCUGGACUAGGGCUUCAGUUAAAAACAGAGAAAGUAUCUUAGAUAACUAGUGAAUGACUAGUGGCCAUCCAUUAUAACAUUUACAAUUGACUGGAGCAUUUUUCUGGUUUAUUACUUGCUUUUAUCCUUUUGUUUGCCGCUUCAUCUAAUCAUUUUACCUGUGAUUUUAUCAUAGUCAAGCAAAUCUGUAAUUUGUUGUGAUACUGAUAAUAGGAGAGACUUAAACCUUCCUUUAUUUUAGUUCAAGCCUUGUGAUAAUAGGGUUAGUACCAAAGUUGAGCACCAGUGCUAUUUUCCUAUACAAGCUGUUGGCCCCAACUAUAAUGAUGGCUCUUGUUUUCCUUUACUGUUUCAUUCCACUGGUGUCUGCCACUUCCUGGAGGGAAGCUAGGUUAUAUCAUAACAAAGCCAGAGGUGGGAAUUUAAACGAUUGUGUGAAGUGUCAUUUGAAAUCUCAAACCAUCCAUGAACAAUAUAUCCCAUCGGUGGUUCCUGUAACAGAUUUUGAUACUGUUCCAGGCCCCAUGACCUUCUAUAACCAUCCUCCUUCAGGUGUCACAUGGCAAGUUCAGCUAACCAAGGGACAUCACAGUAUUCCAGUCCCUUGUUUCAACCUGUCUGAGGUAAUUUCCAUUGGAGGAAAAGUUACUACUGGUCCCCCUCGGUCCCUCAAAUUUAUUCUGAAAAAAUGUGAUGAACAAAAUCCCCUGAAAUGUACAAUUGACAAAUGUGUAAAGUCUAAAAAUGACACUAAUUUGUGUCAGAGAGCCAAACAAGUUGGGUAUCAUGUAAAUGGACUAUGGAAGGCUUGCAGUGGCUCUCACCCAUGGCUUGAUAACAUAAUCUCUGAACUCCCCCAAAAUGAAAGAAUCAAUGACACUACCUUGGGAGGUAUAACAUGCUCCCCUCCAGGAUAUAUCUUUGUCUGUGGCACAGGGAGUGACUCACCUACACGGGGAUGGGCACAUCACUGUUUAGACAGCUGGCAAAUGGAAGGGUCAUGCCUACUGGGACAUUUUAGGAUCCCUUUUUCUGUGCACAGCCUUAAGAGCGUUUCUUCCCUCUCUAACUCAAACUUGCGUCUUAGAAGAGAGAUAUCGUCUGGGUAUUAGGACAAUAUAAGACAAAGCAUUUUUGGCAACCUCACACCGACUGCCAGAGUUUAUAUCAAUAGAGAUAUGAUUCAUAAUCUAGCUACCACAAUUGGGAAAUCUGCCAAAUUGCUGAGGACACAGCUUAAAGUAUUCCAGCCCAGCAACUAUCUUUGAACUCAUGUGGUCCUAGAUAAUGGAAUAGCCUGUGAUUUCCUAUUGGCAAAACAAGGAAAAGUAUGUGCAGUGGCUCAUACCACAUGCUGUACAUACAUCAAUACCUCCAGAGAAGUUGAAAUCUGAAUAAACAGAAUAAUUCAAAAGGCUACCUAGUUAUAGGAUGUACAUAAAUAGAAUACACACCAAAAAUUAUUUUCCUGGUUGCCAUCUGGAAUGGGGGACUCUUUUGAGUACUGUUACAAAGUUCCAUUGAUCAUCAUCCUUUUGUAAUAGGUUUAUUAAUUUUCAAAUAUUUGUUCAGAUGGUAUAACAAAGUGGUCAAAAAGGGAGAUCAUGUUUUCAUGAUGCAAAAUAUUGACACUAGGCCUGGGACUCGAGAAUUCUUUGAGAAGAAGGUCCAAGACUUUUGCUCCUCUAAUCCUGGAGAAUCAACAUCGCCCUUGUUCAGCAGGAAGUAGCCAGAGCGGUCGUCGCCCCUGUUCCCCUCUGGAUUGAGGAGUAUCAAAGAGCAGAGGGACCUGAAACUGAGCAGGACCCUGUAGGACCUUCCUGGGUACGAUCCUCUCUUGUCCCUACGUCUUGUCUGUAGAAAAAUCUUUAGAUUUUUAAGUUUUCCCAGAGUUCUAAAGAGCAGACUCAAGCAGUUGAUGAUUAUAGAAAUGAGUAAAUGUAGAAAUAAAGGAAAAGCAAUCAAGCUAGAAAAGUUUAAACAUAAAACAGAGUCAACAAGACUCCUAGUUCUUCGUCAAGGCAUAUAGAUAACAAUCUGAUGCAACAUAUUUUUGAGUUGUUUUACAGAGCCAGUACCACAUGAUGAAACCUGUUGACCUCAGCCAAGGUGACCCAAACAAGUUGGAGCCAGAAGAAUGAUGAUCAAGAUGCCAGAUAUCACUUUGUUGCUUAACACCCAACCAAUCAGAAGAAUCCAUGAGCUAAUCAUGUGCUUAAGACCCUUACUGUUAAUUUUAGUCUUUAGAAACCCUUGCCUGAAAGCCAUUGAGGAGUUCAGGUCCUCUAAGCAUUAUUUGCCCAUUCUCCUGCUUGGCAUCCUGCAAAUAAAUAUUGAACUUUACUUUACCACAA
Capra hircus (goat) is the source of this 2682-nucleotide long non-coding RNA. RefSeq lists it as uncharacterized. The record is from RefSeq and is a predicted model, not a curated record. Lineage: Eukaryota; Metazoa; Chordata; Mammalia; Artiodactyla; Bovidae. The transcript has 3 exons.